Non-coding RNA from Lophium mytilinum, 91 nucleotides. The record is from the annotation of a GenBank genome assembly. NCBI's taxonomy places the organism in Eukaryota, Fungi, Ascomycota, Dothideomycetes, Mytilinidiales, Mytilinidiaceae.
UCCGGUGUGGUUUAGUUGGCCAUAAUACCAUGACGACCGUCCACAAAAAGGCGGCGUCAUGGAGACCUGAGUUCGAUCCUCAGCGCCGGAC